This is a long non-coding RNA of Mus musculus (house mouse), 1007 nucleotides long. RefSeq annotates it as predicted gene, 40314. The transcript has 3 exons. The record is from RefSeq and is a predicted model, not a curated record. NCBI's taxonomy places the organism in Eukaryota, Metazoa, Chordata, Mammalia, Rodentia, Muridae.
CCUUGGCCAAUGAAUAAGCCCUCUGUAACCAGAAGGACCUCAAGGGAGACUGGACCAAUGAAUCAGCGCAACCUCCCUGAGAUAAGGCUCACAGAUUUGUUCUCUUUCAUCGGGAAAUCACAAGCAGCGCAGGGGCUGAGGAGGUGGCUCAGCUGCUGUCUUAGUCACUUUUCUAUCACUGUGAUAAAACACCAUGACUGACCGUGGCAACCUACAGAAGAACAAGUUUAUCUGGGCCAAGUUUCCAGAGGAUACGAUUGUCAUGGCGGGGAAGUGUGUCAUCAAGCUGCCGGAACCGGAAGUUGAGGGCUCACAUCUGCAUGAAGGGGGAGAGAACAAAGGAGAAAUGCUCCCUCCUUCCGUCUUCCACAGCUGUCAUCCGCUGUGACAGUGUUGUCAAUCUAGAAGGGAAGUCGGGACAGGAACGCAAGGCAGAAGCUUGAAGACAGGAACUGAAGCAGAAGCCGUGGAGGAGUGCUGUUUGCCGGCUUGUUUUCCAUGGAUUUUCAGAGUGCUUUUUCAUACAACCCGGGACUGGCAGCCUAAGGAUGGCUCCACCCACAAUGGGCUGGGCCCCUCCCACUUUAAUCAUUAAUCAAGAACACUCCCCUCAGACUUGCUAACGGACUAAGCUACUUAUCAGCCCUUGCCUCCUCCUGUGCAGCCAUCCUGCCUCUCUCCCCAUUUGCACUCAACAUGGGGCCAAAGGGUCCUUAUAAGACGGAGUCACUCAGAGCAAGGCACAGUCUAAAGGCCGGUUUUACACAUUCUGCAUAAUCCAGAGAAGAACACUCCUGCUGUCCAUAUCUGUUUCAGUGUCUGGCUGUGAUGCAACCUUGCCACAGCGUAUCUCCUCUGUCAUUCUUAUCUGGAUGAUGACGGAGUGGCCAUUUAAGAGAAAGAAUGACUUAUUCAAACCUGAGCUGGAUUCAUUUCACCAGGAUGAGAAAAAUGCACUUCGCCAAUGUGGAGACAACCUGGAAGUUCAGAUGUGGUGAGAAGUACAG